AAUCUAGCUCAAGUCUACUGCUUAGGGACUUGGACUGUCACUUUCGUGAUUUCGAGGAUUCUGGUUUUUGGCAGCAGAAUGAGUGUUGGAGAAAUGUGAAUGUUGCACCAUGAGGAGCUGUCUAGGCUGGGACUUCAGAGGCCAUGGAGAUCUGCCAUCACCAAGAUCCUCAUUCCAAAUGCUUUGUCCUAGGUGAUAAUGUACCACCUUUAAAGAGCUUUCCUGGGAUAACGUUCUUUAUGAAGCCAUUAUUUCUUCAUGAGAAAGACAUGACUCAAGCUGCCAUGACCCAAGUUAUCCUCCAAGAACUGUGAGCAGUAGUGACUUGUCCCUGCAGGAAGAGAGAUACAGCAAGAUUGCAACUCCACGUCAGCCCGCAUCACCUGGUCCCUGAGGUUUGGUGUGUCAGCUCCAUCUUCGACCUGUGAGCUACUUCUAAGAGACUCCUCUUCAUCAAUUGCCGAGUGUGUAGUACCAGAUCAGGAAUGUGACUGAUACUGAUGUGCUUCUCAAUCCUGGACU
Long non-coding RNA from Cavia porcellus (domestic guinea pig), 522 nucleotides. RefSeq lists it as uncharacterized. The transcript has 3 exons. The record is from RefSeq and is a predicted model, not a curated record. NCBI's taxonomy places the organism in Eukaryota, Metazoa, Chordata, Mammalia, Rodentia, Caviidae.